RNAcentral lists this ribosomal RNA (707 nucleotides) under uncultured bacterium. Its description in RNAcentral is "bacterial SSU rRNA". It matches the Rfam family "Archaeal small subunit ribosomal RNA", at positions 21 to 736 of the family's 1478-position model. The record is from RNAcentral.
CCUGACUGCUAUCGGAUUGAUACUAAGCCAUGCGAGUCAUUGCAGUAAUGCAAGGCAGACGGCUCAGUAACGCGUAGUCAACCUACCCUAUGGACGGGAAUAACCUCGGGAAACUGAGUAUAAUGCCCGAUAGAACACUAUACCUGGAAUGGUUUGUGUUCCAAAUGAAUGUCGCCGUAGGAUGGGACUGCGGCCUAUCAGUUUGUUGGUGAGGUAAUGGCCCACCAAGACUAUUACAGGUACGGGCUCUGAGAGGAGUAGCCCGGAGAUGGGUACUGAGACACGGACCCAGGCCCUAUGGGGCGCAGCAGGCGAGAAAACUUUGCAAUGUGCGAAAGCACGACAAGGUUAAUCCGAGUGGUUUGUGCUAAACGAACCUUUUGACAGUCCUAGAAACACUGUUGAAUAAGGGGUGGGCAAGUUCUGGUGUCAGCCGCCGCGGUAAAACCAGCACCUCAAGUGGUCAGGAUGAUUAUUGGGCCUAAAGCAUCCGUAGCCGGCUCUGUAAGUUUUCGGUUAAAUCUGUACGCUCAACGUACAGGCUGCCGGGAAUACUGCAGAGCUAGGGAGUGGGAGAGGUAGACGGUACUCGGUAGGAAGGGGUAAAAUCCUUUGAUCUAUUGAUGACCACCUGUGGCGAAAGCGGUCUACCAGAACACGUCCGACGGUGAGGGAUGAAAGCUGGGGGAGCAAACCGGAUUAGAUAC